Molecule: ribosomal RNA, 407 nt
Filed under: uncultured bacterium
Lineage: Bacteria
Description: bacterial SSU rRNA
Rfam family: Bacterial small subunit ribosomal RNA
Source: RNAcentral
CGCAACCCCUGCUUUCAGUUACUAACGGGUCAAGCCGAGAACUCUGGAGAGACUGCCCAGGAGAACGGGGAGGAAGGUGGGGAUGACGUCAAGUCAGCAUGGCCUUUAUGCCUGGGGCUACACACGUGCUACAAUGGCCGGUACAAAGGGCUGCAAACCCGUAAGGGGAAGCGAAUCUCAAAAAACCGGCCUCAGUUCAGAUCGAGGUCUGCAACUCGACCUCGUGAAGGCGGAAUCGCUAGUAAUCCCGGAUCAGCACGCCGGGGUGAAUACGUUCCCGGGCCUUGUACACACCGCCCGUCACACCACGAAAGUUUGUUGUACCUGAAGUCGUUGGCGCCAACCGCAAGGAGGCAGACGCCCACGGUAUGACCGAUGAUUGGGGUGAAGUCGUAACAAGGUAAAGG